UACAGAGGUCCCGAGCGUUGUUCGGAUUCAUUGGGCGUAAAGGGUGCGUAGGCGGCGGGGCAAGUCUGAUGUGAAAUCCCGGGGCUCAACCCCGGAACUGCAUUGGAUACUGCCUUGCUCGAGUACUGGAGAGGGAACUGGAAUUUACGGUGUAGCAGUGAAAUGCGUAGAUAUCUGGAGGAACACCGGUGGCGAAGGCGGCGUUCUGGACUGUAACUGACACUGAGAAACGAAAGCCAGGGUAGCAAACGGG
RNAcentral lists this ribosomal RNA (253 nucleotides) under uncultured bacterium. RNAcentral's name for it is "partial 16S ribosomal RNA". It matches the Rfam family "Bacterial small subunit ribosomal RNA", at positions 524 to 776 of the family's 1533-position model. The record is from RNAcentral.